RNAcentral lists this ribosomal RNA (498 nucleotides) under uncultured bacterium. RNAcentral's name for it is "bacterial SSU rRNA". It matches the Rfam family "Bacterial small subunit ribosomal RNA", at positions 8 to 523 of the family's 1533-position model. The record is from RNAcentral.
AGAGUUUGAUCCUGGCUCAGGACGAACGCUGGCGGCGUGCCUAACACAUGCAAGUCGAGCGAUGAAGCUCCUUCGGGAGUGGAUUAGCGGCGGACGGGUGAGUAACACGUGGGCAACCUGCCUCAAAGUGGGGAAUAGCCCUCCGAAAGGAGGAUUAAUACCGCAUAACAUGAAGGAAUCGCAUGGUACCUUCAUUAAAGAUUUAUCGCUUUGAGAUGGGCCCGCGGCGCAUUAGCUAGUUGGUGAGGUAACGGCUCACCAAGGCGACGAUGCGUAGCCGACCUGAGAGGGUGAUCGGCCACAUUGGAACUGAGACACGGUCCAGACUCCUACGGGAGGCAGCAGUGGGGAAUAUUGCGCAAUGGGGGAAACCCUGACGCAGCGACGCCGCGUGAAGGAUGAAGGUUUUCGGAUCGUAAACUUCUUUGACCGGGGACGAAGAAAUGACGGUACCCGGGGAACAAGCCACGGCUAACUACGUGCCAGCAGCCGCGGUAA